RNAcentral lists this ribosomal RNA (497 nucleotides) under uncultured bacterium. RNAcentral describes it as "partial 16S ribosomal RNA". It matches the Rfam family "Bacterial small subunit ribosomal RNA", at positions 28 to 507 of the family's 1533-position model. The record is from RNAcentral.
GAUGAACGCUGGCGGCGUGCCUAAUACAUGCAAGUCGAGCGAACGGACGAGAAGCUUGCUUCUCUGAUGUUAGCGGCGGACGGGUGAGUAACACGUGGAUAACCUACCUAUAAGACUGGGAUAACUUCGGGAAACCGGAGCUAAUACCGGAUAAUAUUUUGAACCGCAUGGUUCAAAAGUGAAAGACGGUCUUGCUGUCACUUAUAGAUGGAUCCGCGCUGCAUUAGCUAGUCGGUAAGGUAACGGCUUACCAAGGCAACGAUGCAUAGCCGACCUGAGAGGGUGAUCGGCCACACUGGAACUGAGACACGGUCCAGACGCCUACGGGAGGCAGCAGUAGGGAAUCUUCCGCAAUGGGCGAAAGCCUGACGGAGCAACGCCGCGUGAGUGAUGAAGGUCUUCGGAUCGUAAAACUCUGUUAUUAGGGAAGAACAUAUGUGUAAGUAACUGUGCACAUCUUGACGGUACCUAAUCAGAAAGCCACGGCUAACUACGUG